This 337-nucleotide long non-coding RNA is filed under the name Helianthus annuus (common sunflower). RNAcentral describes it as "sRNA HanXRQr2_Chr01g0037731". Lineage: Eukaryota; Viridiplantae; Streptophyta; Magnoliopsida; Asterales; Asteraceae. The record is from RNAcentral.
UUCUAAUUUCUAACCCUGCUUCUUUUACGCUUCUUCUUCUUUUGGAUUUGUGGUAAACAAUUCUCCGAAGUCUAGGCUUGAGUUACAACACAAGAAUCACAAAAUAAAACUGCAUAAGAAAUCAUCCAGUUUCCGCAAACCCUAGAACGACUUCCACAAAUGGGUUUUUUUUUUUAAUCGUAUAGAGGGCUUUAAAGUUGCAGCGAUUUACAUAGGUAGGAGGUUUAGGGUUCUUCAGGUCAGUCUUCAUAUGCGUCUUCCUUUUAAUUCAUGCCUUGUUGAUUUGUAUCUUUUGAGUUUUGAAUUUCAUAUGUGGUGGUCUUAUGUCUGUUUAUGA